GAGGGGAAUAUUGGACAAUGGGCGCAAGCCUGAUCCAGCCAUGCCGCGUGAGUGAUGAAGGCCUUAGGGUUGUAAAGCUCUUUCAGUGGGGACGAUAAUGACGGUACCCACAGAAGAAGCCCCGGCUAACUUCGUGCCAGCAGCCGCGGUAAUACGAAGGGGGCUAGCGUUGUUCGGAUUUACUGGGCGUAAAGCGAACGUAGGCGGAUCGUUAAGUCGGGGGUGAAAUCCUGGAGCUCAACUCCAGAGCUGCCUUCGAUACUGGCGAUCUUGAGUCCGGAAGAGGUGAGUGGAACUCCUAGUGUAGAGGUGGAAUUCGUAGAUAUUAGGAAGAACACCAGUGGCGAAGGCGGCUCACUGGUCCGGUACUGACGCUGAGGUGCGAAAGCGUGGGGAGCAAACAGGAUUAGAUACCCCGGUAGUCC
Molecule: ribosomal RNA, 425 nt
Filed under: uncultured bacterium
Lineage: Bacteria
Description: partial 16S ribosomal RNA
Rfam family: Bacterial small subunit ribosomal RNA
Source: RNAcentral